AGGAUGAAUGCUGGCGGCGCGCCUAACACAUGCAAGUCGAGCGGAAAGGCCCUUCGGGGUACUCGAGCGGCGGACGGCUGAGUAACGCGUGGGAACAUGCCCCAAAGUGAGGAAUAACUGCCCGAAAAGGGUAGCUAAUGCCGCAUAUGAUCUUAGGAUUAAAGGAUUUAUCCGCUUUGGGAGUGGCCCGCGUACGAUUAGGUAGUUGGUGAGGUAAAGGCUCACCAAGCCCACGAUCGUUAACUGGUCUGAGAGGAUGAUCAGUCAGACUGGAACUGAGACACGGUCCAGACUCCUACGGGAGGCAGCAGUGAGGAAUCUUCCACAAUGGGCGAAAGCCUGAUGGAGCGACGCCGCGUGCAGGAUGAAGGCCUUCGGGUUGUAAACUGCUUUUAUAAGUGAAGAAUAUGACGGUAACUUAUAGAAUAAGCACCGGCUAACUACGUGCCAGCAGCCGC
RNAcentral lists this ribosomal RNA (458 nucleotides) under uncultured bacterium. Its description in RNAcentral is "SSU rRNA". It matches the Rfam family "Bacterial small subunit ribosomal RNA", at positions 26 to 518 of the family's 1533-position model. The record is from RNAcentral.